This is a long non-coding RNA of Ostrea edulis (European flat oyster), 1399 nucleotides long. RefSeq lists it as uncharacterized. The record is from RefSeq and is a predicted model, not a curated record. The transcript is spliced from 3 exons. NCBI's taxonomy places the organism in Eukaryota, Metazoa, Mollusca, Bivalvia, Ostreida, Ostreidae.
CAUUUUUCUAUUUGUUGAUAACAGAAGUGUCCUUGUGUAUUGUUUAGCAGAUAUUCACCGAGAAACCCCGGCGUAAUCUAGUGUUGGCACGACAAAAAGACACAAGGAAGUAGCGAGUACGACUCAAGUUAUCUGGAGGCGCCCAGUUUUUAUUGGUGGAAGAAGGAACCCAGUACAAUAUACCUGGGAAGAGACCACCGACCUUCCGAAAGUAAACUAGGAAACUUCCUCACUUAGGGCGCGAGUGGGAUUCGAACCCGCACCGACAGAGAUAUAUUUCACCCCUAAACGAUGAAGGAGACCGCGAAAUUAGCUAAUUGAGCCUCCGGCAAACCGCUAAAAGGAGAACCAUUAGCUGAUGGAAAACUGCACGGCAGCCACUCUACCCUUAGUGCAAGAGACAGUAUAGAUAUGUACACCCAACUACAAUAGCUUAGAGUCAGCAAGCAGUGUUCAAUUAGACAGUACUCAACAUGGAGAGGAAACCAACCUACCAUCAGGGUCAUCAUCCUAGUGGAAACCACGUCCACAGAUAUAACCCCUGCUCAAACGACCACACAUACCUCAGCAUUAUUUGGGAUUGCUAGACCAAUAGGCCUAGGAAUCGACUCAAACAUUAAGGCAAAUGUAUUUGCUAACGAGUACAUUAAACUUUCUUCAUUGACAACCAAAAAUAAAAAAACACCCACUGAAGAGUCCAAGUUUAAAACAGUAGAACAAAAUGAUCAGUUGAUAUUUAUCAGAACAAAUGGCAGUCAAAAAAUCAAAACUCUGUCACAGUGGAUAGAAGCAUUCCUUGUGUUUGUCGAUAUAUAUUGUUGAAUAUUCCCCGAGGAGACAAGUCUCCCUUUAACCUACAUGUAUGCCCAAACCGUUCAAGGAAUCUCAAAAUCGUAUGGCGAUGAGUUAGCCAUUGACUAGGAAGUAAAAAGUUAGACGGUGGCGUCAAGUCGAGCCCCGCGCUUGUCCUUGGAAUCAUAAAAAUGUGUUAGGUAAACGUUUUUGAUAGAAUUUAUACCUAGAUGUUUAUCAAUAAAUAUUUCAGAUUUCACAUUUAAAUUUGAGCAAUAAUGAGUUCAGAAUAAUUGUUCAAACAAAGUAUCUUUUUCAAGAUACAUAUAGUAUAAAACGUAAGAGUUGAUUCAUUUAUUUUGCACAUUGCUGUAUUCUCCUUCUGCUAGGUUAUAGUAAGGGUUUUCUGACUCCGACUUUGUGGUAUUAUCCAACUCAGAAAUAUGGCUUUCAUGCUCCAACGCAAGAUAAACAUUAUCGAUGAUAUUUGAAUUAUCCACACAUGCAUAUUGAUGUGAUUCGGAAUUUUCUGCUUCCAAAUUUUUACUGUUUGUAGAUUCAUUUGUAGCAUUUCCUUUGCAUCUCCUUGGAAUAAAUAGAAAAUAUA